This 2753-nucleotide long non-coding RNA is filed under the name Ananas comosus (pineapple). Its description in RNAcentral is "long non-coding RNA (ACOM_LNC020046)". Lineage: Eukaryota; Viridiplantae; Streptophyta; Magnoliopsida; Poales; Bromeliaceae. The record is from RNAcentral.
AAAUAUUAAAGUUAAGAUCAAAUAUAACCUAUUAGCUAAGAUUUCUACUUUCAGUGACUUCCAAAUUUUUUGAGCCGAAGUCGAAAAAGUAAGAUUUAAUUGUAACUCACUUUAUCAGCCCACUUUUGUAAAUUGACUUUCAUAUUCACUAUCGUAAACCAAUCAGUUGAUAAGACGUCACUUUCUAAAAGUAUUACUUUCGAAACUUCACUUUCGGCGAAUCAAACAUAAGUCUUUUUUUUUUUGCUAUAAACAAUUAUUUUUACUAUUUGGUUCGCAGUAAUAAAGAUACGCUCGAAACUUGAGUUAUUUGAAAUAAAUAAUUGAUUUCGGCCUGCCCUGGACCGAAAUCAAUUACGGUAAAGGGCUUGGUGGUUGGUACCCUAGGUCCCAAAUUCAAAUCCUAGUUGAUUCACAUUUCCAGCUAAGUUUAGUUCUAAAUGAAAUAAACGAAGCGGGUAGCGUGCUACCUAUCUCUCAAAAAAAAAUUACAGUAAAAAGAGGUGAAGGGAAAAAAAAAAAAAAACAUGGGUAAUGCUAUUAUAUUUAAAUAUAUUUAAUUAUGGUGCCAAUUAUUUUUUUUACUUAAUUUGCAUAUUUAAAAUAUGAUAAAAAUUGAUUAGUUAAGUUCUAGUAUUUUUUAAUUUAGUUUGUACAUUUAAAAUAUGGUAGAAAUUGAUUUUUAAUAUCUUUAUAUUUUACAAUUUUAUUGUUGCAUUAUUUUAAUAAAAUUAAUGUGUUACUGUUAGAAGAAUAAUUUGGUUGUUUUAGAUUAAAUUCUUUAAUUAUAUAGAAAUAUCAUUAUAUUAUUUUUAUUUAUUAUAUUAUAACUUAUUACUUAUUAGGUUCUUUAUUAUUAUACAUAAAUUAUAGUCUUAUAUUUUUCACUUCAUACCAAACAAACAAACAAACAGCAAAGCUGAAAAAAAAUUUAUUUUCACAGCUAUGAAAACAAACAUAGGAGGGGAGAAAUAUUUCUCACCUGAACUCCAGUUCAACCCAAAGUCCAGUUUCGAUGAAACAAACAAGCCUUGAGCGGGGAAGGAACUUAGCUAAUUCACUUGUUUGGUAAUCUUCUCUAUAAUUAAUUAACACCAUUUCGUACGCUGCUCUUCUUCAUAAUAUGCUGUUUUGUAAAUUGCAAGAACAAAAGGACUAAACUGAGAGAAAAAGGUUAUAAAUAACAAAUUGGGUUCCGUCUUGGGCCAACACCCAACAACGGUCCUGUGAGAAAGUGUUGCCUCCGCUCUGGGCGGCAUUUAGCUGGUCGGGUUCUCCCUCCGGGAGCGGGACCACCCGAUCCGCCACGCCUGGGAGUCUAUAUAUAUAUAUAUAUAUAUAUACUUCCCAAAUUCCCCUCUCCCCCAAACCCUAAAAAUUCUCGUCGGGCUCCCCGUCCGUCUCUUCUUCUAACCCUAAACCCUAACUCCAAAACCCUAGCAGUGCGAGCGAUGGAGAAGGACGGCGCCCCUGCCGCUGCCUCGACGACCCCGAAGGAUGUGGCUUUCCUUCUGAAGCGCCUGGAGAAGAUGGAGGCACGGACCAAGCGCCUCGAGGACGCGGUCGAGGAACAUCGGGAGAAGUUGCGUGAAUCAUAUGAUUCCCUUUGCACGACGAAGGACGCCUUGGAAGCAGAGCACGAAGCCAGGAAGAGGACGGUGCGCGCCUUGCUGUUCCUGGAGAAGAGGAUGAACAAGGAGGAGCUGGCAUGUUCACACUUUCUGCGCCUUCUUGUGAAAUCCCGUUCCUAAAUUUAUCCUCCUUUUUGCUUGUUUAUACUCUCUAUUUAUGUAGCUAGUCGUCUUGCAUUUCUUCCUUCCUUCUUGAAGCUGUUGCCUUUGUUCGGGACACCGUGACAGGGAGAAACGGCUAUUUAUAAAUCUUUUGCUCAUAGAUCAUUCUCGUGAUUGAUUACUUUUGACAUGUGCAACUUUUCUUCUUUUCUUUUCCUGUAUUAUUGAGUUUCAGAGAGAGAUUAAUUUGCAAAAGCGCUUUUGCGAGUAACAAAAAAAUUUAUUCGUAUCCCGUGUUUUAUAUUUUAUUGUGUAAUGUUCCUAGUCCCGAACCUUUCCAUUGGCAAUUAGGUACGUAACCUCUUCUAAUUAUUUGUAGAAAUAAUUGCAGAGCAGGAUUGCUGCCCUCUUAGGUAGUUUUGAUUCGGAAACAAACGAGAGAAUAAGCUCUUGUUUUUUCCUUUUGUUUCUAAAGUUUUCCAGUUUCUGAAACAAACUGGUAUAAGGUUGGAACUACUGUUCCAACUGUUUCCUGGAACUAGCUUGUUCCUCGAUGAGAACAAGAUUAAGUAAAAUCUAAAUUUAAUUUUAAUGACAAUAAAUUAUUAAUUAAUCUAAUUAAUAUAUUUAAAUCAUUAAUUAUUUCUUUAAUAAUUAAAUAAUUAAUUAAUUUAUUAUUUAUAAUUAAUUAUUAAUAAUUAGAAAUUUAUUAUUAUUAAUUUAUUAGUUAUAAUUAAUUAUUAAUAAUUAGAUAAUUAUUAUUAUUAAUUUAUUAUUUAUUAUUAAUUAUUAAUAAUAUUUAUUAUUAUUUAUUAAUAAUUAUUAUUCUUAAUAAUAAUCAAUAUUAUUAUUAAUUUAUUAUUUAAAAUUAAUUAUUAAUAAUUAUUAUUCUUAAUAAUUAGAUAAUCGAUAUUAUUAUUAAUUUAUUAUUUAUAAUUAAUUAUUAAUAAUUAUUAUUAUUAUUAUUAUUUAUCAUUAGAUAAUUGAUAUUAUUAUUAAUUUAUUAAUUUAUAAUUAAUU